Molecule: ribosomal RNA, 468 nt
Filed under: uncultured bacterium
Lineage: Bacteria
Description: partial 16S ribosomal RNA
Rfam family: Bacterial small subunit ribosomal RNA
Source: RNAcentral
GACGAACGCUGGCGGCGUGCUUAACACAUGCAAGUCGAACGGAAAGGCCCUGCUUUUGUGGGGUUCUCGUUUGGCGAACGGGUGAGUAACACGUGAGUAACCUGCCCUUGACUUUGUGAUAACUUCAUGAAACUGGGGCUAAUACCGGAUAGGAGCUCCUGCUGCAUGGUGGGGGUUGGAAAGUUUCGGCGGUUGGGGAUGGACUCGCGGCUUAUCAGCUUGUUGGUGGGGUAGUGGCUUACUAAGUCUUUGACGGGUAGCCGGCCUGAGAGGGUGACCGGCCACAUUGGGACUGAGAUACGGACCAGACGCCUACGGGAGGCAGCAGUGGGGAAUAUUGCACAAUGGGAGGAAGCCUGAUGCAGCAACGAAGCGUGCGGGAUGACGGCAUUCGGGUUGUAAACAGCUUUCGACUGUGACGAAGCGUGAGUGACGGUAAUGGGUAAAGAAGCACCGGCUAACUACGUG